UACAGAGGGUGCAAGCGUUGUUCGGAAUUACUGGGCGUAAAGCGUGCGUAGUCGGUAUUGAGAGUCACGGGUGAAAUCCCCACGCUUAACGUGGGAACUGCCUGUGAGACCUCAGUACUAGAGUGUGAGAGGGGAUAGUGGAAUGCCAAGUGUAGCGGUGAAAUGCGUAGAGAUUUGGCGGAACACCGGUGGCGAAGGCGGCUAUCUGGCUCACAACUGACGAUCAGGCACGAAAGCGUGGGGAGCAAACAGG
RNAcentral lists this ribosomal RNA (253 nucleotides) under uncultured bacterium. Its description in RNAcentral is "partial 16S ribosomal RNA". It matches the Rfam family "Bacterial small subunit ribosomal RNA", at positions 524 to 776 of the family's 1533-position model. The record is from RNAcentral.